This 241-nucleotide unclassified non-coding RNA is filed under the name Hevea brasiliensis (rubber tree). Lineage: Eukaryota; Viridiplantae; Streptophyta; Magnoliopsida; Malpighiales; Euphorbiaceae. The record is from RNAcentral.
AUAACAGAACUUGGGUGGUGGGUAAAGCAUAUACGAUCAGCACCAUGCUUUUUAUGAAAUGUGGUUUUGAGUAACCUGGCAUUCGCAAUAUCGUAGAGUCGGACGGAAUCAUCCUCGCUUGCCGUUACCAGCAAAUCUUCCUUACGAUGAAAAUCCAGAGAAUUUAUCUUCCCAACGAAGUCGGAGAAAACAGCUCCGAUUGACAUGCUGCGUACCGUGGCAUCGUCGAGCUCGGUGAGCG